RNAcentral lists this unclassified non-coding RNA (250 nucleotides) under plant metagenome. RNAcentral describes it as "partial contains small subunit ribosomal RNA, internal transcribed spacer 1, and 5.8S ribosomal RNA". The record is from RNAcentral.
GUAGGUGAACCUGCGGAAGGAUCAUUAUUGAAUAAACUUGAUGUGGUUGUAGCUGACUUUCGCAAGAGAGAAUGUGCUCGCCCGUCACCUUUAUCUUUCCACCUGUGCACUUUUUGUAGAUUUGAAUUGUAGCUUUCCGAGGUAACUCGGUUGGGAGGGAUGUCAUUCGUGGCUUUUCUUGUAAUACGUUCAAGUCUAUGUUUUCAUAUACUCCAAAAAUGUAACAGAAUGUAUCAUUGGGCCUUGUGCC